UGAUAUGAUGUUAUCUGGCUGCAACAUGUCACUCCAUUAAUAAUCAGGAUUCAGUCAGCUGAUCAGACUCACCAGGUGAAUGUUCCAUUUUUAACUCAUCACUCAAUGUGUGCUACUUCCAAAACUUAGUGGAAAAGAAUAUCCACCCCAUAUGGAAGGACUAUCCUACCUUUCAGUAAUAUUUCUA
RNAcentral lists this small nuclear RNA (187 nucleotides) under Ophiophagus hannah (king cobra). RNAcentral's name for it is "7SK RNA". It matches the Rfam family "7SK RNA", at positions 1 to 200 of the family's 331-position model. Rfam says of the family: 7SK was discovered as an abundant small nuclear RNA in the mid-70s but a possible function has only recently been suggested. Two independent studies have found that 7SK RNA binds the CDK9/cyclin T complex (known as elongation factor P-TEFb). Lineage: Eukaryota; Metazoa; Chordata; Lepidosauria; Squamata; Elapidae. The record is from Rfam by way of RNAcentral.